GGAUGCGAUCAGCCCAGCACUAAAGCACCGGAUCCCAUCAGAACUCCGAAGUUAAGCGUGCUUGGGCGAGAGUAGUACUAGGAUGGGUGACCUCCUCGGAAGUCCUCGUGUUGCAUUCC
This 119-nucleotide ribosomal RNA is filed under the name Triticum aestivum (bread wheat). The record is from RNAcentral. Lineage: Eukaryota; Viridiplantae; Streptophyta; Magnoliopsida; Poales; Poaceae. RNAcentral also lists the same sequence under 1 other name.